GACAAACGCUGGCGGUAUGCCUAACACAUGCAAGUCGAACGGACAGAACAGGGAAGCUUUUCGGAGUGGAACUGGAAAGUUAGUGGCGGAUGGGUGAGUAACGCGUGGACAACCUACCUUGUAAAGGGGAAUAACCUCGAGAAAUCGAAGCUAAUACCCCAUAAUAACCUUGCUUCGCAUGAAGUAAGGAGGAAAGGCGGCCUUAGCGCUGUCGAUACAAGAUGGGUCCGCGUCUGAUUAGCUAGUUGGUGAGGUAAAGGCCCACCAAGGCGACGAUCAGUAGCCGGCCUGAGAGGGUGAACGGCCACAUUGGAACUGAGACACGGCCCAAACUCCUACGGGAGGCAGCAGUGGGGAAUCUUCCGCAAUGGGCGAAAGCCUGACGGAGCAAUGCCGCGUGAGUGAAGAAGGCCUUCGGGUUGUAAAACUCUGUCCUUAUCGAAGAGAGAGUGUUGUAGUAACUGACAAUACUAGGACGGUAGAUGAGGAGGAAGCCCCGGCUAACUAUGUG
This 511-nucleotide ribosomal RNA is filed under the name uncultured bacterium. Its description in RNAcentral is "partial 16S ribosomal RNA". It matches the Rfam family "Bacterial small subunit ribosomal RNA", at positions 28 to 507 of the family's 1533-position model. The record is from RNAcentral.